CCUACGGAGGCAGCAGUGGGGAAUAUUGGACAAUGGGCGCAAGCCUGAUCCAGCCAUGCCGCGUGAGUGAUGAAGGCCUUAGGGUUGUAAAGCUCUUUUACCAGGGAAGAUAAUGACGGUACCUGGAGAAUAAGCCCCGGCUAACUUCGUGCCAGCAGCCGCGGUAAUACGAAGGGGGCUAGCGUUGCUCGGAAUCACUGGGCGUAAAGCGCACGUAGGUGGGUCGUUAAGUCGGGGGUGAAAUCCUGGAGCUCAACUCCAGAACUGCCUUCGAUACUGGCGAUCUUGGAGUCCGGGAGAGGUGAGUGGAACUGCGAGUGUAGAGGUGAAAUUCGUAGAUAUUCGCAAGAACACCAGUGGCGAAGGCGGCUCACUGGCCCGGUACUGACACUGAGGUGCGAAAGCGUGGGGAGCAAACA
This 419-nucleotide ribosomal RNA is filed under the name uncultured prokaryote. Its description in RNAcentral is "bacterial SSU rRNA". It matches the Rfam family "Bacterial small subunit ribosomal RNA", at positions 338 to 774 of the family's 1533-position model. The record is from RNAcentral.